RNAcentral lists this ribosomal RNA (357 nucleotides) under uncultured bacterium. RNAcentral's name for it is "bacterial SSU rRNA". It matches the Rfam family "Bacterial small subunit ribosomal RNA", at positions 8 to 353 of the family's 1533-position model. The record is from RNAcentral.
AGAGUUUGAUCAUGGCUCAGGAUGAACGCUAGCUACAGGCUUAACACAUGCAAGGUCGAGGGGAAACGACAUCGAAAGCUUGCUUUUGAUGGGCGUCGACCGGCGUACGGGUGAGUAACGCGUAUCCAACCUGCCCACCACUUGGGGAUAACCUUGCGAAAGUAAGACUAAUACCCAAUGAUAUCUCUAGAAGACAUCUGAAAGAGUAUUAAGAUUUAUCGGUGAUGGAUGGGGAUGCGUCUGAUUAGCUUGUUGGCGGGGUAACGGCCCACCAAGGCAACGAUCAGUAGGGGUUCUGAGAGGAAGGUCCCCCACAUUGGAACUGAGACACGGUCCAAACUCCUACGGGAGGCAGCA